Molecule: transfer RNA, 76 nt
Filed under: Podarcis lilfordi (Lilford's wall lizard)
Lineage: Eukaryota; Metazoa; Chordata; Lepidosauria; Squamata; Lacertidae
Description: tRNA.Lys
Source: RNAcentral
GCAAGGAACAUAGCUCAAUCAGUAGAGCACAAGACUCUUAAUCUCAGGGUCCUGGGUUUGAGCCCCAUGUUGGGCA